Molecule: long non-coding RNA, 719 nt
Organism: Fundulus heteroclitus (mummichog)
Lineage: Eukaryota; Metazoa; Chordata; Actinopteri; Cyprinodontiformes; Fundulidae
Exons: 3
Source: RefSeq, a predicted model, not a curated record
CCAGGACAGCGUGAAAGACAAACACCUGCUGAUAGGAACAAAAGUCCUCUCUGCAGUUGUGAUUAUUUGAACCAUGGAUUGUUGACGUUGAACCUGCUGUCUUUUUGAUUGCUGAAGGGUUGAAGGUUUGAAAACCAUGUGCACCACCAUCAUGGUUCUCUCCACUCUGGCAUUUUUACUGCGCCAACAUCUCUUCAGGGGAAGCAAAACCUUUCCGACAAACUUGGAUGGAAAAGAUACACCUGCAGUGCAGAGCCAAGAUCCUGACAAAUGAAACGGCAUCACCAGAAAGCUUCUCUCCAAAAAUGCCCUGCGCUCUAAAAGUGGAACCAGCUGAGCCACGGCAGCUUUCACGCCCUGCCAACGAGCUGAUCUGGAGAGACCAUCAAUCUCCUCCGCUAAACCUUUCGUUUAGAACCAGGGGAGGGAAAGCCAUCUCGGUCCCGCAGACAUCCUUACCUAACUCUGCUAAGACAAAACGACGGCUUCUAGCAGAGCAGAAAUAAACAAGAUGCCCAUUCACGGCCCGCUGCGUCCCCGUUUGAGGGGGAAAUCCACUCCCCCGCUCCCCGCAGCCUCUAAAACACGACCCUCGGAUUGUUAUGUCGUGUGACUGAAGAUUUCUCCCUUGACGUCGUUUCUCAUCCGCAUCCGGUAACGACUAAAUUGUGUACAGUAACAACUGAGCUCCUACGCCAAAUAAAGCUGUUUUCCAUCUA